RNAcentral lists this ribosomal RNA (44 nucleotides) under Pratylenchus goodeyi. RNAcentral's name for it is "partial 18S ribosomal RNA". Lineage: Eukaryota; Metazoa; Nematoda; Chromadorea; Rhabditida; Pratylenchidae. The record is from RNAcentral.
GGCUUCGGCCCUGCUGUUGUUGGAAACCAAUUUAAUCGCAGUGG